This 241-nucleotide long non-coding RNA is filed under the name Lotus japonicus. RNAcentral's name for it is "long non-coding RNA (LJAP_LNC000543)". The record is from RNAcentral. Lineage: Eukaryota; Viridiplantae; Streptophyta; Magnoliopsida; Fabales; Fabaceae.
CCCUUUCUCCUUUGUAUACUCGUCUUUCUUUUUCCUUCUGUUAAGGGUUGGCACUGCCUCUUUUCUCUAUGAAUGGCAAACACACCCUUCAAUCUACCUUUCCCUGUUGUAAUUGCGCUGGUUUUGGGUCCACUGCUAGCACUUUCGUGGAUUAAGCUUGCCUCCUUGGCUGAAUCAUUUAUUGCAUGGUGCUUUUAUUUGUUCCUGCCAGUGUCUUUCUGUUUGCAGGCUGCGUUUUUUC